UGGGGAAUAUUGGACAAUGGGGGGAACCUGAUCCAGCAAUGCCGCGUGUGUGAAGAAGGCCUGAGGGUUGUAAAGCACUUUCGGUAGGGAGGAGAGGAGAUAGGUUAAGAGCUAAUUUUCUGGACGUUACCUAUAGAAGAAGCACCGGCUAACUCCGUGCCAGCAGCCGCGGUAAUACGGGGGGUGCGAGCGUUAAUCGGAAUUACUGGGCGUAAAGGGUGCGUAGGUGGUUUUAUAAGUUAUCUGUGAAAUUCCUGGGCUCAACCUGGGGUGGUCAGAUAAGACUGUAGGACUAGAGUAUGGGAGAGGGUAGUGGAAUUUCCGGUGUAGCGGUGAAAUGCGUAGAGAUCGGAAGGAACACCAGUGGCGAAGGCGGCUACCUGGCCUAAUACUGACACUGAGGCACGAAAGCGUGGGGAGCAAACAGG
RNAcentral lists this ribosomal RNA (428 nucleotides) under uncultured bacterium. RNAcentral describes it as "bacterial SSU rRNA". It matches the Rfam family "Bacterial small subunit ribosomal RNA", at positions 355 to 776 of the family's 1533-position model. The record is from RNAcentral.